AGAGCGCAGCCUGGGAUCAGAAAGAAAGCAAGUCAUCUGCAACCUGUCAGAGCCUAAGACCAGAAGGCAGGCCCAACCUCCGAGACCAUCCUUGGACAUCACUAGACUGGGAGCUAUACAUGGAAGGGAGCAGCUUCGUCAACCCAAGGAGAGAGGUGUGCUGGAUAUGCAGAGGUAACCCUGGACGGUGUCAUUGAAGCCAAAUUGUUGCCCCAGGGUACUUUAGCCCAGAAGGCAGAACUCAUUGCUUUAAUUCAGGCCUUAGAGCUAAGUGAAGGUAAGACUAAACAUUUACACUGACUCUAGGUGUGCCUUUUUAACUCUUCAAGUGCAUGGGGCAUUAUACAAGGAAAAAGGCCUAUUGAACUCUGGGGGACAAGAUGUAAAGUAUCAGCAAGAGAUCCUGCAACUAUUAGAGGCAGUGUGGAAGCCCCAAAAGGUGGCAGUCAUGCACUGCAGUAGACACCAGUGAGAUUCUACCUUGAUUGCCUUGGGGAACUCCCAAGCUGACUCAGAGGCUCAAAAAGCAACAUCCACACCCUACCGGGCAUCAGUCACAGCAUCCCCUGCUCCCUCAGGAACCUGACCUUGUACAUACUUAUUCUAAAGAAGAGAAGUACUUUCUCCAGGCAGAGGGAGGGCAGAUGAUAGAAGAGGGAUGGAUCCAGUAAUUGGACAGAAGAAUAGCUGUGCCACAACUGCUAGGAGCCACCGUCGUACUGGCUGUGCAUGAGACCACCCUCCUAGGCCAAGAGUCACUUGAAAAGUUGUUAGGCCAGUAUUUCUAAAUCUCGCAUCUGUCAGCCCUUGCCAAAACAGUGGCGCAGCCAUAUGUUACCUGCUGGCAGCACGAUGCUAGGCAAGGUCCAACCAUUCUGCCCAUCAUACAAGCUUAUGGAGCAGCCCCCUUGGAAGAUCUCCGAGUAGACUUCACCAAGAUGCCCAAAUGUGGAGAUCUCAUGCCUAGGUUUGGACUGCACUUACGAAUCAGCUUGGACAAUGGGCCGGCGUUUGUGGCUGACUUGGUACAGAAGACAGCUAAGGUAUUGGGGAUCACAUGGAAACUACAUACCGCCUACCAACCACAAAGUUCCGGAAAGGGAGCAGAUGAAUCAGACUACCAAAACAUAAUUUAGUGAAAGUGUGUCAAGAAACAGGGUUAAGGGUGUGGAUCAAGGAUUAGAACGUAACCCCCUUGUGGCCAUGGUGGAAAGGACCCCAGACUGUCGUCUUGACCACAGCCAUAAAGGUAGAGGGAAUCCCAGCCUGGAUCCACCACAGCCACGUUAAACCUGCAGCACCUGAGACCUGGGAGGUAAGACCAAGCCCGGACAACGCCUGCAAAGUGACUCUGAAGAAGACGACAAGCCCUGCUGCAGUCACACCCGGAAGCUGACUGGUCCACACACGGCCGAAGCAUGAGGAAACUCAUCUUGGGACUCCUUUUCCUUAAACUUUGGACUUAUAGAGUAAGGACUUCAACUGACCUUCCUCAGACUGAGGACAAUUCCCAGCAUAUAUAUCAAGUCACUGAGAUAGGACAAAAGGUUGCUGUAGUCCAUUAUUUUAUAGUUAUUAUGAGUGUACCGGGACUCUAAGAGGAACUUGUUUGUAUAAUGCUACUCUAUACAAGGUAUGUAGCCCAGGAAGUGACCAGCCUGAUGUGUGCUCUAACCCAUCUGAGCCUCCUAUGACUACCAUUUUUGAAAUAAGAUUGAGGACUGGGAGCUGGGGAAAAGCUGAUAUGAGUAGAGUAGUAACUAGAAUAGAAGAGAAAGGAGUCCCCAAACAAAUUUUCUUAAAAUUUGAUGCCUGUGCAGCAAUCAACAGUGACCUGUAUGGAAAUAGAAUAAGAUGUAGCUCUCUAGAUUGGGAAAGGGGCUAUAUAGUAGAAAAUAAGUAUGUUUGUCAUGAAUUAGGACUAUGUACUGAUGAAUGUAGUUACUGGUCCUGUGUUAUUUAGGCCACCUGGAAAAAAAUAUGAGAAGGACCCUGUCCUCCUUCAAAAAGGAAAGAGUAACUCUUCAUGCACUUGUGGUUACUGUAACCUAUUAGAACUACUAAUUACCAAUCCCCUUGAUCCCCAUUGGAAAACAGGAGAGUAUGUAAAUUUAGGAAUCAAUGGAACUGGACUGGAUCCCUGAGUAAAUAUUUUAGUCCAAGGGGAGGUCCACAGGCUCUCUCCCAAACCAGUGUUUCAGACAUUUUAUGAUGAGCUGAAUCUGCCAGCACCAGAGCUUCCACAAAAAAGAAAAGAACUUGUUUCUCCAUUUAGCAGAAAAUGUAGCUCAUUUCCUCAAUGUUACUUCCUGUUACAUAUGUGGGGGAACCACUAUGGGAGACCGAUGGCCUUGGGAAGCCCGAGAAUUGGUGCCUACUGAUCCAGUUCCUGACAUAAUUCCAGUCCAGAAGACUUCUGGGUCUUGAAAACCUCUAUUACUGAACAAUACUGCAUAGCUAGGGAAUGAAAAGACUUCACCAUCCCUGUAGGAAGGCUCAAUUGUCUAGGACAGAGGUCUAGGACAGAGGCUGUAUAACGGCACAACAGGGACAGUCACCUGGUGGGGUCUAAACCAUACUGAAAAGUAUGUAAAUUUCCUUCAUUACAUUCCUUCAGUAAAUUUCCUAAAUUACAGAUUGCUUGGCCCAUCCACAAUCUCAUCGAGACUGGACGGCUCCUACUGGACUAUACUGGAUAUGUAGGCACAGAGUCUACACUCAGUUACCUGAUCAAUGGCCAGGUAGUUGUGUCAUUGGCACCAGUAAGCCAUCCGUUUUCCUACUGCCCGUUAGAACAGGUGAGCUCUUAGGUUUCCCUGUCUAUGUCUCCCGAGAAAAGAGGAGCAUAGCUAUAGGAAAUUGGAAAGGUGAUGAGUGGCCCCCCCCCGAAAGGAUCACACAGUACUAUAGGCCUGCCACAUGGGCACAAGAUGGCUUGUGGGGAUACUGAGCCCCUAUCUACAUGCUCAACUGGAUCAUACUGUUACAGGCCAUCUUAGAAAUAAUCACUAAAGAAACUGGCAGAGCUUUGACUCUUUUAGCCCAGCAGAAACCCCAAAUGAGAAAUGCCAUCUAGCAGAAUAGAUUGGCCUUAGACUAUUUGCUGGCAGCUGAAGGAGGAGUCUGUGGAAAAUUCAACUUGACCAAUUGCUGUCUGCAAAUAGAUGGUCAAGGACAAGUAGUCGAAAAUAUAGUUAGAGACAUGACAAAGCUGGCACAUGUACCCAUGCAGGUUUGGCAUGGGUUUGAUCCUUGAUCCCUGUUUGGAAAAUAGUUUCCAGCUCUAGGAGGAUUUAAAACUUUUAUAAUAGGAAUAAUAAUAGUGUUAGGAACAUGCAUGUUACUCCCCUGUAUGUUACCCAUAUUUCUACCACCUUAGUUCAUCAAAAGACCUCAGCACAAGUAUAUUACAUGAAUCACUAUCGAUAUGUCUCACAGGAAGAUCUAGAUAGUGAGGAUGAGAAUGAGAACUCCCACUAGUGUGUGAGGUUCUCAAAGAGGGGUAUUAGGAGACAAGCCAUUUCUCCUACUGUCCCCUGUAUCCAAAGAAAAGGAGGAAGUAAAAACUGAAAAAUAACAGACUGAUCAGUGCCACUGGCCAGGCCUGUAGGUUAAAGAUUAACCCCACCCUAACUGCUUGUGCUAUCUAUAGAUCACAGAUAAUGGUAUGGAGAAAUACUUGCCUUGCUCACCACCCCCACCUAGUCAUGUACCACAUGCUUGCUCAAUAUAUCGUGACCCUUUCACGUGAACCCCUUAGAGUUGUAAGCGGGAACUCUUUUUUUGGGGAGUUCAGUUCUUGAGACACAAGUCUGCCAACACUCCUGGCCAAAUAAAGCCUCUUCCUUCUUUAACCCGGUGUCUGAGGGCAUUUGUCUGUGGCUCGUCCUGCUACAAUGGACCUUCUGGUUUAGAGAGUCUGUAUAUGUUGAACUUUAAUGGAUUUUUCCAAUUUUCUAGUAGGUUACUUUCCAAUAAGAUUGUAUCAAUUAAUGCUCUCAUGAGCAAUGUAUGAAUAAAGUGACCAUUUCUUUUGAGAAGUUUAAUUUCAAAGAAAGAAAGCCACAACACAAUCAUUUUUCUUAGCAUUUGGAAACUCAUGGUAAGGAUGAUUACUGCUUACUAUCACCACCACUACUGUUUAACGCUAAAACCAUUGAUUCUAAAAAACUACUACUGUUACUGUAUUGAUACAAAAUCAGGAGCUAUCAUUUAUCGCACAACUUUUAUGAAACAGCCAUUCCUACAGUGUCUUUAUUAGCAGUAUUUUGUUUAUUUCUAGAUAUUAAUCUCUGUUAGGUUGGUGAAGAAUCUGAGCGUUAGAAUACUUGAAUGGUACACAUAAGAUCACUCAGCCUGUAACUCCUGCCACUUCCAACUGAAGCCAAACACACUAUUCUGAAAUUCUUUGAAAGACAGGACAUCAAGUUGACGGCUCCAGCCCAAAGCUGCACAUACAUACAUGUGUGCAUGGAUGCACACACACAAAGAGCCGUCUAAAACUUAAUGAUUGGAGGAAAUUGUGUCUUUUGUUCUUCAUUUAAAAUCAUUUACUAGUAAGUAGAUAGGAAAGCCAUUUUGCUUGUUCUACUUCGAAUAUUAUUCCCAGAUUCAUUGUCUUCCUUCUUUAUAUCAUCAUCACCUGAUGCUUUAAGUUUAAUGCUCCAUGAAUGACUUCUUCUAUAAAGGCAAAAAUAAAUACAUUUCUUUUUCUACAGAUUACAUAUACUUUUCUAUAUGUAAUCAUAUGAGCUUUGCAAGUUGUUAAACCUCAGGAAUAUACAUGAGUGCCUGGUUGUUGAAAUAUCUGAAUUAACACUUCUAGCAUAGAAGCUUAAAUUUAAUAAAACCUAAACAAAUACACUAGUUUGGACCAAAUAAUUAUUUUGAUGCAGAACAAAAACGUUGAGCCAAUAUGUGACCUUCCUUAGUGAAUCUAGGACAAGUGGAGGAACGUUGGAGCCAAAUAAUCAAGAUUACCAAACAAUCAAGAUUAUGUUGGGUAAGAC
Molecule: long non-coding RNA, 5009 nt
Filed under: Homo sapiens (human)
Lineage: Eukaryota; Metazoa; Chordata; Mammalia; Primates; Hominidae
Description: HSALNT0056334
Source: RNAcentral